CUGUCAAGCUGGGCACCAUCACCCCUGAUGGAGCUGACGUGUACUCAUAUGAUGAGGAUGACAUGGUCCUGGACCCCAGCCUAGCUGAGCAUCUGUCCCACUUCGGCAUCGACAUGCUGAAGAUGCAGAAGACAGACAAGACGAUGACUGAGUUGGAGAUAGACAUGAACCAGCGGAUUGGUGAAUGGGAGCUGAUCCAGGAGUCGGGUGUGCCACUCAAGCCCCUGUUUGGGCCUGGCUACACAGGCAUCCGGAAUCUGGGUAACAGCUGCUACCUCAACUCCGUGGUCCAGGUGCUCUUCAGCAUCCCUGACUUCCAGAGGAAGUGAGUAGUGCCCUCUCCUUCCCCAGACCCCUCCUGGUCAGCACCCUCUGGGCAUACUCCUCCUUCAGCUGCCCUCAGCACCUCUGUGUUUGAUUGUAGUCUUAGAGUAGUUCCUAUCGGCUGGGUGUGUUGGCCCACACCCGUAAUCCUAGUACUUCGGGAGGCCAACAUGGGAGAAUUGCUGGAGCCCAGGAGGUUGAGACCAGCC
RNAcentral lists this small RNA (533 nucleotides) under Pongo abelii (Sumatran orangutan). RNAcentral's name for it is "retained intron". Lineage: Eukaryota; Metazoa; Chordata; Mammalia; Primates; Hominidae. The record is from RNAcentral.